UCAGUAACACGUAGUCAACAUGCCCAGGGACGUGGAUAACCUCGGGAAACUGAGGAUAAACCGCGAUAGGUCAUAAUAUCUGGAAUGAUUUAUGGCUCAAAUCUACAUGGCCCCUGGAUUGGACUGCGGCCGAUCAGGCUGUUGGUGAGGUAAUGGCCCACCAAACCUAAAACCGGUACGGGCUCUGAGAGGAGAAGCCCGGAGAUGGGCACUGAGACAAGGGCCCAGGCCCUAUGGGGCGCAGCAGGCGCGAAAACUCUGCAAUAAGCGAAAGCUUGACAGGGUUAUUCUGAGUGAUUUCCGCUAAGGAAAUCUUUUGGCACCUCUAAAAAUGGUGCAGAAUAAGGGGUGGGCAAGCCUGGUGCCAGC
This 369-nucleotide ribosomal RNA is filed under the name unidentified archaeon. Its description in RNAcentral is "bacterial SSU rRNA". It matches the Rfam family "Archaeal small subunit ribosomal RNA", at positions 90 to 462 of the family's 1478-position model. The record is from RNAcentral.